UCACACAUGCAGUCGAACGAUGAAGGGGGCUUGCUCCUGGAUUAGUGGCGAACGGGUGAGUAACACGUGAGUAACCUGCCCUUGACUCUGGGAUAAGCCUGGGAAACUGGGUCUAAUACCGGAUAUGACUGACUAUCGCAUGGUGGUUGGUGGAAAGCUUUUGUGGUUUUGGAUGGACUCGCGGCCUAUCAGCUUGUUGGUGAGGUAAUGGCUUACCAAGGCGACGACGGGUAGCCGGCCUGAGAGGGUGACCGGCCACACUGGGACUGAGACACGGCCCAGACUCCUACGGGAGGCAGCAGUGGGGAAUAUUGCACAAUGGGCGCAAGCCUGAUGCAGCGACGCCGCGUGAGGGAUGACGGCCUUCGGGUUGUAAACCUCUUUCAGUAGGGAAGAAGCCGCAAGGUGACGGUACCUGCAGAAGAAGCGCCGGCUAACUACGUGCCAGCAGCCGCGGUAAUACGUAGGGCGCAAGCGUUAUCCGGAAUUAUUGGGCGUAAAGAGCUCGUAGGCGGUUUGUCGCGUCUGCCGUGAAAGUCCGGGGCUCAACUCCGGAUCUGCGGUGGGUACGGGCAGACUAGAGUGAUGUAGGGGAGACUGGAAUUCCUGGUGUAGCGGUGAAAUGCGCAGAUAUCAGGAGGAACACCGAUGGCGAAGGCAGGUCUCUGGGCAUUAACUGACGCUGAGGAGCGAAAGCAUGGGGAGCGAACAGGAUUAGAUACCCUGGUAGUCCAUGCCGUAAACGUUGGGCACUAGGUGUGGGGGACAUUCCACGUUUUCCGCGCCGUAGCUAACGCAUUAAGUGCCCCGCCUGGGG
RNAcentral lists this ribosomal RNA (817 nucleotides) under Arthrobacter sp. RNAcentral's name for it is "bacterial SSU rRNA". It matches the Rfam family "Bacterial small subunit ribosomal RNA", at positions 49 to 878 of the family's 1533-position model. Lineage: Bacteria; Bacillati; Actinomycetota; Actinomycetes; Micrococcales; Micrococcaceae. The record is from RNAcentral.